RNAcentral lists this long non-coding RNA (379 nucleotides) under Mytilus galloprovincialis (Mediterranean mussel). The record is from RNAcentral. Lineage: Eukaryota; Metazoa; Mollusca; Bivalvia; Mytilida; Mytilidae.
GUUGUGAUGUUAUGCUAUUGUUUCAGAAAAAGGGAGAAGGUUUGGAUCCAUUAAAACGUUUAAUCCCGCUGCAAAUGUUUGCACCUGUCCUAAGUCAGGAAUCUGAUGUACAGUAGUUGUCGUUUGUUUAUGUAAUAUAUACGUGUUUCUCGUUUCUCGUUUUGUUUACAUAGAUUAGACCGUUGGUUUUCCCGUUUGAAUGGUUUUACACUAGUAAUUUUGGGGCCCUUUAUAGCUUGUUGUUCGGUGUGAGCCAAAGCUCCGUGUUGAAGGCCGUACUUUAACCUAUAAUGGUUUACUUUUUAAAUUGUUAUUUGUAUGGAGAGUUGUCUCAUUGGCACUCACACCACAUCUUCCUAUAUCUAUUUUAAGACAGCUU